Molecule: long non-coding RNA, 645 nt
Organism: Coregonus clupeaformis (lake whitefish)
Lineage: Eukaryota; Metazoa; Chordata; Actinopteri; Salmoniformes; Salmonidae
Exons: 2
Source: RefSeq, a predicted model, not a curated record
GUUGGUAGGGUCCAAUGUCCUCUGAAGCCCAAUGAGCGAGAGAAGCUGAAGGCUAGGAAACAUGGUGAACUUUGCUGCCCUGAUGCGUGACCAUUGGGUGAACAUAUUUGUUCCCCUUGGCUUUGUGAUCGGGAUCUACAUGGACAGAGCACAGGACCAGAAGCUGACCGCUUUCAGGAACAAAAGCGCAUUGUACAGCAGGGGAGUUAUAAAUCUGCACCCACACACCAAUACCAGAUUCACAAUAUAGAGGCGAGCCAUACCUGCAUGGAUAUUCUCUUUUCACAUUGUCCUUUUCAGAAACUAUGGCAGAUGCAAGACCAGGCCGGCCCAGUACAGCUUGGUCUUGUGGUGUGAAUCAGGCAUCAGCAUCUAGCCUUCAUAUGAAAGGAUACAUUCCUAGCAAUAAUCUAAGUGGGUACUAACGGUCCUCUGAAUAUUCUUCCUUCUGUAUAGGGAGCUGAAGCCAGGUGAGGAAGUCACCUGGGAGUAGACCCACCCAUCACCUGGAAUAUUUAUUGUGCCCAAGUCACAUCUUCUGUUGUGUGAAUGAUGUUUUCUGGAUGGUCUUCAAAUCAAGUAUGCCGAUAAGAAGUUUCUGUAUCUUUAAGGGUUGUAUCGACCAAUAAAUAUGUCCCUUUGUCA